AAUAUAUACAUAUACAUCUUAUAUCGUAUUAACUAAAUAAAAAAUGCCAAAAGAUAAGAAAAGCAGAACGAGUUUUGAUUACCACGAUCGGUCUAGUAAUGAAAAUAACAUGAGGCACCCACGAAAAAAACAUUACAAGUCACAUCCACACCAUUCUAAGACGACUUCGGACAAUGCAACUCUGAUAAGGUUAUUGAUGAAGUUGUGUCCAACGGAUCAUCAUCAAAUAGUGAAAGCGGAUUUGAAAUUCUUAAGGAAGAGGAAGACGAGGAAAAAUUUUUGGAAGAACGAAGAAGAAAAAGAGAGGCAUUAAAAGAGAGACUCAAAGGUUUAAUUAACAGCGAUGAUAAUGAUAACAAUAGAGAUAAUAAUACUUUAAACGAUAACUGCAAAAACAAUAAUGACCUAGGUAUUCCUAGAGAAAACGAAAUUAUUUCUAACGAUAUUGUAAAUCAAAUAGACAAAAUGGAAAAUAGUUUCUUAACUUAUAAGAAAACUGAAUUAUCUGAAAGUUUAAACGGUGCCCCUUCAAUGUUGAACGAUUUGGAACAUACGUGAGUUAACUAUAAAAAUGGAAUGUAAAAAAAAAAAAAAAAAAAAAAACUAAUCAAAUUGUUGUUAUUAUUACUAUUAUACAUGC
RNAcentral lists this long non-coding RNA (640 nucleotides) under Piliocolobus tephrosceles (Ugandan red Colobus). RNAcentral describes it as "lncRNA (ENSPTEG00000010691.1)". The record is from RNAcentral. Lineage: Eukaryota; Metazoa; Chordata; Mammalia; Primates; Cercopithecidae.